Molecule: small nucleolar RNA, 142 nt
Organism: Syngnathus acus (greater pipefish)
Lineage: Eukaryota; Metazoa; Chordata; Actinopteri; Syngnathiformes; Syngnathidae
Source: RefSeq, a predicted model, not a curated record
AAAGGCUCCGAUCGAAGCCGUUGAUGCUCUUUCAGUAGCAUUCUAUGGUCAAACGGAAGCCGAUAAGAAAACUUUCAUUGACGGUCGCUGUUCAGUUCUAUCGUAUAACUGAAACCGCAACAAUUUUUCUGGAAGGACAUUU